GCCCAGUGCCUGGCUCCCCCGGAUGUUGUUGCACAGCCGUUUCCGGGGCGCUGGGAGGAGAAGUAGGUCUCCUAAUGGGUCGUAGCCGCAGCCGAUCCCCGCGGAGGGUACCAGAGCAGCGGAGAGCCGGGCCCUUUCCUCCCGAGUGGUGGAUGAGGGAAUGAAGACCGGGGCCCUGCGCUCGUCGGCCCUGACCCAGCGGUUAUAAGGCAGCUUGGGGGGUUUCGUGUCUCUGAAUUAGGGUGUCACCGACUUGCGGUCCGCCUAUGCGAACGCAGGCGAUCCCGGUCUACUUCCCGGGAGAGAGAGCGCCGGCGCCGGGAACGGUCCCGAUCCCGGGAGAGAGAUCGAAGGAGAAGCCGCUCCAGGUCCCCGCAUAGGCGGCGCUCCAGAUCUCCACGACGACACAGAUCCACGUCUCCUUCCCCUUCACGGCUGAAGGAAAGAAGAGACGAGGAAAAGAAGGAAACGAAAGAAACAAAGAGCAAAGAACGUCAGAUCACUGAGGAAGACUUAGAAGGCAAAACAGAGGAAGAAAUAGAAAUGAUGAAGUUAAUGGGAUUUGCCUCUUUUGACUCCACAAAAGGGAAGAAGGUAGAUGGCUCCGUAAAUGCCUAUGCUAUAAAUGUAUCUCAGAAGAGGAAAUACAGGCAGUACAUGAAUAGAAAAGGUGGAUUCAACAGACCUCUGGAUUUUAUUGCAUGAGAACUAAAAUACUGAAGAAUGAUUUUCCCCCUCGUCUUGGUUGGAGAGUGGAUUUCGUAUUUGGUAUUUAAUGUGCAUCAAACACCGGGUCUCAGUUCUUCCUUGUACAGUAAGAAGAUCUUAUUUAUGAUUUCCUUCUACUUUUUUUAAAAAGGAAAUAACAUUUGAGGCACUCAUCAGCCCCAUAUUGUUUAUUCUUGUUCCUAUGGAAGCUGUGUGUGUUUUCUUCUUGGAUGCUUGUUAGAACUUUUUAAGAAACAUGAAAGUAAUUUGGACUUGAGUUUCUUCAAUAAAGCAAUAUUUCUACCCAUUUUAUAUUUGAUAAAUAUUUUCAUUACUAGAUAAAAAAAA
RNA transcript from Chinchilla lanigera (long-tailed chinchilla), 1056 nucleotides. It is a transcript of the gene named small nuclear ribonucleoprotein 27kDa (U4/U6.U5), with no coding region annotated. The record is from RefSeq and is a predicted model, not a curated record. Lineage: Eukaryota; Metazoa; Chordata; Mammalia; Rodentia; Chinchillidae. The transcript has 7 exons.